UACGGGAGUGGCAAGCGUUAUCCGGAAUUAUUGGGCGUAAAGCGUCCGCAGGCGGCCUUGUAAGUCUGUUGUUAAAGCGUGGAGCUUAACUCCAUUUAAGCAAUGGAAACUGCAAGGCUUGAGUGUGGUAGGGGCAGAGGGAAUUCCCGGUGUAGCGGUGAAAUGCGUAGAUAUCGGGAAGAACACCAGUGGCGAAGGCGCUCUGCUGGGCCAUAACUGACGCUCAUGGACGAAAGCCAGGGGAGCGAAAGGGAUUAGAUACCCCUGUAGUCCUGGCCGUAAACGAUGAACACUAGGUGUCGGGGGAAUCGACCCCCUCGGUGUCGUAGCCAACGCGUUAAGUGUUCCGCCUGGGGAGUACGCACGCAAGUGUGAAACUCAAAGGAAUUGACGGGGGCCCGCACAAGCGGUGGAGUAUGUGGUUUAAUUCGAUGCAACGCGAAGAACCUUACCAGGGUUUGACAUCCUGCGAAUCCCUUGGAAACGAGGGAGUGCCUUCGGGAGCGCAGUGACAGGUGGUGCAUGGCUGUCGUCAGCUCGUGUCGUGAGAUGUUGGGUUAAGUCCCGCAACGAGCGCAACCCACGUCGUUAGUUGCCAGCAUUCAGUUGGGCACUCUAGCGAGACCGCCGGUGAUAAACCGGAGGAAGGUGUGGAUGACGUCAAGUCAUCAUGCCCCUUACAUCCUGGGCUACACACGUACUACAAUGCUACGGACAAAGGGCAGCAAACUCGCGAGAGCUAGCAAAUCCCAUAAACCGUGGCUCAGUUCAGAUCGUAGGCUGCAACUCGCCUACGUGAAGGAGGAAUCGCUAGUAAUCGCAGGUCGGCAUACUGCGGUGAAUACGUUCCCGGGCCU
Molecule: ribosomal RNA, 857 nt
Filed under: uncultured bacterium
Lineage: Bacteria
Description: SSU rRNA
Rfam family: Bacterial small subunit ribosomal RNA
Source: RNAcentral